Molecule: ribosomal RNA, 434 nt
Filed under: uncultured bacterium
Lineage: Bacteria
Description: bacterial SSU rRNA
Rfam family: Bacterial small subunit ribosomal RNA
Source: RNAcentral
AUUGAACGCUGGCGGCAUGCUUUACACAUGCAAGUCGAACGGCAGCACGGGUGCUUGCACCUGGUGGCGAGUGGCGGACGGGUGAGUAAUACAUCGGAACGUAUCCAGAAGAGGGGGAUAACGCAUCGAAAGAUGUGCUAAUACCGCAUAUUCUCUGAGGAGGAAAGCAGGGGAUCGCAAGACCUUGCGCUUUUGGAGCGGCCGAUGUCUGAUUAGCUAGUUGGUGGGUAAAGGCCUACCAAGGCGACGAUCAGUAGUUGGUCUGAGAGGACGACCAGCCACACUGGGACUGAGACACGGCCCAGACUCCUACGGGAGGCAGCAGUGGGGAAUUUUGGACAAUGGGCGCAAGCCUGAUCCAGCAAUGCCGCGUGAGUGAAGAAGGCCUCGGUUGUAAGACGUCUUUCUAGUCGAGAAGAAAAGGACGUAGUGGU